GUCAGGACGAACGCUGGCGGCGUGCCUAAUACAUGCAAGUCGAGCGACAGAUGGGAGCUUGCUCCCUGAUGUUAGCGGCGGACGGGUGAGUAACACGUGGGUAACCUGCCUGUAAGACUGGGAUAACUCCGGGAAACCGGGGCUAAUACCGGAUGCUUGUUUGAACCGCAUGGUUCAAACAUAAAAGGUGGCUUCGGCUACCACUUACAGAUGGACCCGCGGCGCAUUAGCUAGUUGGUGAGGUAAUGGCUCACCAAGGCAACGAUGCGUAGCCAACCUGAGAGGGUGACCGCCCACACUGGGACUGAGACACGGCCAACACUAAUACGGGAGGCAGCAGUAGGGAAUCUUCCGCAAUGGACGAAAGUCUGACGGAGCAACGCCGCGUGAGUGAUGAAGGUUUUCGGAUCGUAAAGCUCUGUUGUUAGGGAAGAACAAGUACCGUUCGAAUAGGGCGGUACCUUGACGGUACCUAACCAGAAAGCCACGGCUAACUACGUGCCAGCAGCCGCGGUAAUACGUAGGUGGCAAGCGUUGUCCGGAAUUAUUGGGCGUAAAGGGCUCGCAGGCGGUUCCUUAAGUCUGAUGUGAAAAGCCCCCGGCUCAACCGGGGAGGGUCAUUGGAAACUGGGGAACUUGAGUGCAGAAGAGGAGAGUGGAAUUCCACGUGUAGCGGUGAAAUGCGUAGAGAUGUGGAGGAACACCAGUGGCGAAGGCGACUCUCUGGUCUGUAACUGACGCUGAGGAGCGAAAGCGUGGGGAGCGAACAGGAUUAGAUACCCUGGUAGUCCACGCCGUAAACGAUGAGUGCUAAGUGU
RNAcentral lists this ribosomal RNA (818 nucleotides) under Bacillus sp. KSUM_30. RNAcentral's name for it is "bacterial SSU rRNA". It matches the Rfam family "Bacterial small subunit ribosomal RNA", at positions 23 to 823 of the family's 1533-position model. The record is from RNAcentral. Lineage: Bacteria; Bacillati; Bacillota; Bacilli; Caryophanales; Bacillaceae.